ACAGCACUCUGCAAACACGAAAGUGGACGUAUAGGGUGUGACGCCUGCCCGGUGCUGGAAGGUUAAUUGAAGAUGUGAGAGCAUCGGAUCGAAGCCCCAGUAAACGGCGGCCGUAACUAUAACGGUCCUAAGGUAGCGAAAUUCCUUGUCGGGUAAGUUCCGACCUGCACGAAUGGCAUAAUGAUGGCCAGGCUGUCUCCACCCGAGACUCAGUGAAAUUGAAAUCGCCGUGAAGAUGCGGUGUACCCGCGGCUAGACGGAAAGACCCCGUGAACCUUUACUAUAGCUUGACACUGAACAUUGAAUUUUGAUGUGUAGGAUAGGUGGGAGACUUUGAAGAUGAUACGCCAGUAUUGUUGGAGUCGUCCUUGAAAUACCACCCUUUAACGUUUGAUGUUCUAACGAAGAUUACGAAACGUGGUCUCGGACAGUGUCUGGUGGGUAGUUUGACUGGGGCGGUCUCCUCCCAAAGAGUAACGGAGGAGCACGAAGGUUUGCUAAUGACGGUCGGACAUCGUCAGGUUAGUGCAAUGGUAUAAGCAAGCUUAACUGCGAGACAGACAAGUCGAGCAGGUACGAAAGUAGGUCAUAGUGAUCCGGUGGUUCUGAAUGGAAGGGCCAUCGCUCAACGGAUAAAAGGUACUCCGGGGAUAACAGGCUGAUACCGCCCAAGAGUUCAUAUCGACGGCGGUGUUUGGCACCUCGAUGUCGGCUCAUCACAUCCUGGGGCUGAAGUAGGUCCCAAGGGUAUGGCUGUUCGCCAUUUAAAGUGGUACGCGAGCUGGGUUUAGAACGUCGUGAGACAGUUCGGUCCCUAUCUGCCGUGGGCGUUGGAGAAUUGAUUGGGGCUGCUCCUAGUACGAGAGGACCGGAGUGGACGCACCACUGGUGUUCCGGUUGUGUCGCCAGACGCAUUGCCGGGUAGCUAAGUGCGGAAGAGAUAAGUGCUGAAAGCAUCUAAGCACGAAACUUGCCAAGAGAUGAGUUCUCCCAGAUU
This 997-nucleotide ribosomal RNA is filed under the name human metagenome. Its description in RNAcentral is "bacterial LSU rRNA". It matches the Rfam family "Bacterial large subunit ribosomal RNA", at positions 1815 to 2820 of the family's 2925-position model. The record is from RNAcentral.